GCCGCAGAAGCUGUCCAGCUGGCAACCCUGUUACCAAGCAUUACUCAAGCGUCACGUCUAACAGUUGAAGCGUCGCUGCAAGAUGAGCGACAGAUGUCAAAGAGGAUCGGAUGACCUGUCAAAGGUGUUUCCGGUCAUCGCAGCCGCAGUUUGUCAUUCAUUAUCAGCGAUCACGAAGCGAAGGGUGUUAAAAUUGUUCUAUCGUAGAAAAGUUAUUGUAGUUACAGAAAGUUUAAUUAUCUGAGUAAAGUUUUAUUUAGAUCGCGACUUAGUGAGACAAUUACGGGUGAAUAGUGAUGGAGUGCACAAAUUACACACUGUGAGAUAAUCUGAACCGAAGGUAAUUUUAACAGCAACGAGAUUAGCGUAGGUUAGGAUUGCGAUAAAGCCAGUGUAAUAAUUUCGAUGCAUUCACAGUUCGUUCCGUAGCGUAGUCCAAAGUCGUGUCCACGUGAGCAGUCCGAGAUUCGCCAAGAUCGUCAGUAAAAAUAAACGUCUCACGUUGCGUGAAGGUUAUACUCUAUUCGCAGGGAGUACGGGCUAAGAGGCCUACUGAAUUUUGAAGCACCACAAUAUACGAUUGCUGUCAAACCCGGUUUGCCCUUUAUUUGCUCCCUAUCUCUCGCAACAA
Long non-coding RNA from Aedes albopictus (Asian tiger mosquito), 631 nucleotides. RefSeq lists it as uncharacterized. NCBI's taxonomy places the organism in Eukaryota, Metazoa, Arthropoda, Insecta, Diptera, Culicidae. The record is from RefSeq and is a predicted model, not a curated record. The transcript has 3 exons.